AUGCUGUGGAGAGCCGCUGUGCCCACUGCUGUCAGGCUGGAGGGAAUGACACCAACUGCUGUGUUUGUGACAGGCGCUCAGCUCUCUGUGUGGAAGCCCCCCAGACCCCAGUCAGGAGACGACCAGGAAUCGGACCUGGAUAUGUCCUCCAGAGCUCUGAAUCAAACCUCGGCUGCCUUGCCCAUUUCUCUGUUGCUGGCGCUGGGGUUGGCUCUGGCUGUUUUUGCCUUGGUCAAAGCUCAUGCCCGCAAAAGGUGUUGCUGGGGCCAAAGCUAUGAAAGACUGAGUGGCAGUGCCAGUAUCAAUAUGCCCCAUGGUGUGCCUGAGCCGGACAGCGGCGAUGAGGUGGAUGUGGUGUACACCAGUAGAGGUGGAUCGAUCUAUCGACGUACAGCUUCAUCCAUGAGCAGGACACUGAUGCAGACCAGGAUGUAGAUGAGAGCACUUAUCUCAACCAGUCUUAAAUAUGUCCAAACUAGAACUUGCAGUACGUGAGGAAUGUGGCAGGUGAAUUCAGUUUAGUUAAGUUUAGUUCAGAAGAUGUGGAGGUAUGUUUCUUCUUGAGUUCUGGUGUUUAUUUCAUUCAACAAAGUGCCUGUAUCUUUAUAAUGCACAUUCUUAGUUGAGGCUGGAAAAAAAAGUUAAUAAAUAUUUGUGUAUGCCGGAUGUAUGUGUGGUACCAGGCACAGAGAAUACCUGCUUUUAAAGGGCAGAGUUGUGACCAACUUUUACUUCCCCAAUCCAGAUCCUCCAGGACGCCGGCCAGAAGUGGGAGGGGCACCCUGCUCAACAGGCCGAAAAGGUUAUGCAUACUAAAUGGGCCCGGCCUUGUACAGGGUGGGUGUUGCUGCACAGAGCAGAGGUUAAAAACAAUUUUCAUCCAAAACUCACAAUAUAGCACUCUCACUGCAGGUGAUCCUUAAAUGCCAAAAUCAACAGUUAAACAACAUAUCCUCAGGAAAAGGAGGGUAACAAACAGUGGCUGGUCUUUUCCUUUUGAGAAAACAAAUAAAACAAAUUAGUUGCCAGUCUAACCAUUAAUUAUAUUGUUAAUGUUUAAAAAAAUUUAACAAACAAACUAUAGGCCUACUUUCCAGGGAUUAGGUAUUUGUAUUGAGCCAGGCAAACUUUUAGCGUGUCAUGAUCACUGGCUGCUUAUCGCAUGAUUGGGUCAAGUGACCACACACAUACACACAGACUCCCACAUAUGUAAGUGACUUUUUCUGUUUUUACUCGAUAUUAAAGAGGUAUUUGUGAACAUUGUGAAGCAAUUGUGAAAGUGAAAUCAUGAAAUGAAUCCAUCCUCAUGCCAUCAUUACACCUGUAGAAGUAGCUGAGUCACUGAAUUCCUUGAAACACCCUGAUUAGACACACCUACCACUCAUCACACUGUUUGCCUUAUUGCACAAAGCACAGACGCUGCUCAUCAUUUGAUCUGUCUGUCACCUGCACU
This 1453-nucleotide long non-coding RNA is filed under the name Scophthalmus maximus (turbot). RNAcentral's name for it is "lncRNA (ENSSMAG00000034758.1)". Lineage: Eukaryota; Metazoa; Chordata; Actinopteri; Pleuronectiformes; Scophthalmidae. The record is from RNAcentral.